AGGAAGUAAAAGUCGUAACAAGGUUUCCGUAGGUGAACCUGCGGAAGGAUCAUUAUCACGUAUCCACGUAUAAACCAUUGUGAACCGUUCUAAACCUCUAAGAUGAGUGAGCCAGUUGUAUAUCAAACAUUUUAAGCGGUCUUCUUGUGAUUAAACCGUGGUUUGGUAUGCCACAGUCGUUUAUCUCCGGAUUUCGAUUGUACUUGCUUAUUUUAGAGUGUAUUUCUUAAUCACUAUCUAUUAACCAUUUUAACCCAAUCUUUAUAACUUAUUGAACUAAUUUUAUUUCUUACUCUCCGGAGAAGAAAUUCAUUACGAAACAAAGAACAACUCUUAGCAACGGAUAUCUUGGUUCUCGUAACGACGAAGAACGCAGCGAAAUGCGAUACGUAAUGCGAAUUGCAGAAUUCAGUGAAUCAUCAAAUCUUUGAACGCAAAUUGCGCUUUCUGGAUAGGCCAGGGAGCAUGCCUCUUUGAGUCUCGUUUCUACCUCAUCUCGACUGCUUUCUGAAAAGAAGACAGGCGGAAAAUGAGUGUCUCAUUCGAAAUGAGUGAGUCGCUUUAAGAAGAGUGAGUUCCUAAACUCCUAGUAUUCAGAAUCAGCAAUGAUUCGCCUAUUAUUAGGUUACAAUUUACUAGUGGCGUAGUUAAAUUUAUUUCUCAACGUCAUUUGGUUGAUUGCGACUUGGUUUUCGGGUUCGGAUACAUGGUAAAUUGGUACUCAAUGGAAAUUAAAUUUAUUUUUGAAUUAGAGCUCAAAUGAAGCAAGAUUACCCGCUGAACUUA
RNAcentral lists this ribosomal RNA (786 nucleotides) under uncultured fungus. RNAcentral's name for it is "eukaryotic LSU rRNA". The stretch from base 329 to 483 matches the Rfam family "5.8S ribosomal RNA". The record is from RNAcentral. Lineage: Eukaryota; Fungi.